AAGUCGUAACAAGGUUUCCGUAGGUGAACCUGCGGAAGGAUCAUCAUCGAAUUCAUACCCACCCCCCCUCACCGGGGGGUGGGCUCAUGAUAAACCCUUCUGUGCACUGUAAAACCGUUCACUUUGGCAGGCUUUGGUCGUGAGUGUUCCGCUCGCCCCAACUUCGCGUGCCCCUCCCAAGGGGGACGCGAGGCGGCCUGCCGGAGUCCUCUUCUGAAAAACUCGUUUGAGAACACGUCUGAAAAUUUCCUUUGAGAAAUCAAAGAACCGAAAACAACUUUCAACAACGGAUCUCUUGGCUCUC
Molecule: unclassified non-coding RNA, 304 nt
Filed under: fungal sp.
Lineage: Eukaryota; Fungi
Description: partial internal transcribed spacer region
Rfam family: Eukaryotic small subunit ribosomal RNA (bases 1-46)
Source: RNAcentral